RNAcentral lists this ribosomal RNA (433 nucleotides) under uncultured bacterium. RNAcentral describes it as "bacterial SSU rRNA". It matches the Rfam family "Bacterial small subunit ribosomal RNA", at positions 43 to 524 of the family's 1533-position model. The record is from RNAcentral.
CAGGCCUAACACAUGCAAGUCGAACGCCCCGCAAGGGGAGUGGCAGACGGGUGAGUAACACGUGGGAACGUGCCCUACGGUUCGGAAUAACUCUGGGAAACUAGAGCUAAUACCGGAUACGUGCGAGAGCAGAAAGAUUUAUCGCCGUAGGAUCGGCCCGCGUCUGAUUAGCUAGUUGGUGAGGUAACGGCUCACCAAGGCGACGAUCAGUAGCUGGUCUGAGAGGAUGAUCAGCCACACUGGGACUGAGACACGGCCCAGACUCCUACGGGAGGCAGCAGUGGGGAAUAUUGGACAAUGGGCGAAAGCCUGAUCCAGCCAUGCCGCGUGAGUGAUGACGGCCUUAGGGUUGUAAAGCUCUUUUACCCGGGAAGAUAAUGACGGUAUCGGGAGAAUAAGCCCCGGCUAACUUGGUGCCAGCAGCCGCGGUAAU